CAAACAACAGCCGUAUCUCUCUACUUUCUUUCUUUAUCUCCCCCUCUGUCUAAAGGAACCGCCGCCUCUCCCUCAACCUCCACGCCUCUGCCGUCGACAAGGCCACCACCGACAGCCCAUGCUGGAUGAGACCAGCCGACCGUCGCCACCAUCUCCAUCAUCGCCGUCGUUAGCCACCUCCAGUGCCGCCAGCCGCCGCUACAAGCAGCCAUGCAGCCGGCGAUCCGACCUCUACACUUCCUCCUCCACGCCGUUCCCCAUCGCCACCAUAGCCAUCAACCAUUCACCACUCCACCAGUUGGCAGGACCCCCACCGCCAUGAAUUUACAGCCAGCCGCCGCCGCAAGCAGCCAUGCAGUCGGCAAUCCAACCAACAAAGCCACCGCCACCACCUUAUUUCUCUUCUCUCUCCUCUAGUCUAUUGACCCCUUUUCUACUGCAACGCCGUUGGAGUUGAUAACCGGUGAGGUUUUCAAUGAAAUACCAUUCCCGUUAUUGUUUAGUUUGGCAUGAGUUUCAAAUCGGUGGCUUUGCCUCCGAUUACCCCAAAAUAGGUUCUUAAUUUUAAAAUUCGUGAUGUUUGGUGUGUGAUUUUGACUUGAUUGUUUUAAUUUCAUAUUUAUCUACACCUGUUCAUUAACAUAUACGAAAAGCCCCAAAUUUGCAUGACUUUUGGUUAAACUCUAAUUUUGAUUUGAAUGUUGAUCUUGUAAAUAUUAAAAUUGUGAUUCUCUUGUCUUGUCGUUGUUAUGAAUUUACCCCUAAGGUAGUACCAAGUUGAGUUGUAAUUGUUAUUUUUGUACACUAUUUUAUUUUAACGUUCAACUCAUGUGCAUUUGAAAUUAACAGCUUUGUGAUAGAUUAUUUUUGACAAGCUUGAAUUUUGAUCUUAAUGUGUUAUGUGAUUAUAUUUGGUUACUUUUGAUCUGACUUCGUGCAUGAUUUUAAUUGUUCUCGUGAGUGUGAUUUGUGUGUUUGAUAUCUCUUGGAAUUUUUUACAUGUUAGUGGAGUAUGAACUGAUUUUGGGCGUAAUUGCAAUCACCCAAGGGAUAUUUUACAGUCCUUCUGUUUUGACAAAUUAUAUGAUUGAUUCCGUUAAUUUUGCUAUUGAUGAACACUAAGUGCUGUCCAUAUUCUAUGUUAUUUACUUGGUUUGCUGCAGAUAUUUACUUGUUUAUUUAUGGUAAUUCCGGGUGAUUUGCCUUGACUAUUUUUCUACCUAUUUUUACUGAUUGCCUUUCUUUCCUCUAACUUAGACAACUUUUUAUCAUUUUUAUUUUUGGUAGGACUAACGUAAUUUGUGAUUCUAUUAAUUCAAAUUAGUGCAUUAAGGAAAAUAUUCUGACUGAUAGUUAAAAUAUUCUCCUUCCUUUAUUUUCAUAACCCCUCAGCCUAUACAAACGAUCCCUCUUUUCACUUAACAGACAACUCUUCCUGAUUACUACUCUCUACAACAAAAACUACUAGCUACUUUAAUACCAAGGAUAAAAUAUUUCUCAAGCUCUUUGGUGUUUCUUUUCGGGUUUAAGGGAGCAUCCUGCAUAUCUCACUGUUACGGGUGCUUUGCUUCAACAUCCUUACUAUUUUCUUAUUGCUGUUUACUGGAAGCAUCCUGCAUAUCUCACUGUGGGGAGUGCUGUGCUUCAACAACCUUCUUAUUAUUUUAUUUUUUAUUUGUUGCUUAUCGGUAAAAGUUCUCAAAUCGAUGUAAUUUUAAUUCUUUGUGUGUGCUGACUGUGAAAGCCAUUAGAAAACAUAUCAAUAGGGAUAUUUGUUGCUAUGUUCCUGUUUGUUUCGCUGUUACAUUAUGUCUCACAGGUAUAAAUAGACGAUUUAGAAUUGAAGAGUCGCCCGGGGUUGAUAGGGAUUAUAUUGUGCCCUAAAGUUUAGUUGAUUCUUCCUUUUUAUGUAAUAUUGUAUAAAUGCUAUUGAUGUAAUAAUAAUUAUGGGGACUGCUUGAGGUGUGGGGCUUAUGUUCUCUAUGAAUCGUAGGCAAACUUUAACAUUAGGAUUAACAGCCAAUUAAUUUGGACACGUAGAAAGGUUGUUUUAAGAGUAUUAUUAAAACAGAUUUAAGCAUGUUGUUGGUCUAGUCGAUAGCUUGAGAAUUAAUGACUAAAGUUUGUGUUAAUUCUGUAGCAUGUGUUUUUCAGUAUAUUAAUAUUACUUUUCAGCAAUCUAAAAUUAUUUUUCAGCAUGUAAAUGUUAAAUUCCAGCAUAUUGAUAUAUUUUCCAGCACAUAAAUGUUGAUUUUAGUAUAUUAGUGUCGUUUUUCAGCGUUAGUGUAUUUUAAGCGUGUUCAGCUUAAAUUUCAACAUGUUAAUACAUUUUUUCAGCAUGUUAACAUUAUAUUUAAGCAUGAAUGUUAAUGUAAUUUUCAGCAUGAAUAAUAAUUUCUAGCACUUUAAUUGAAUUUUCAACAUGUUAGGUUUAAUUUCCAGAAUAUUAAGAAGUAGCUUUCAGUAUGUUAAAACAAGUGUUCAACAUGUUUACAAACUUUCCGUGAUAUUAUCAGUUCUAAAAAAUGUAAUCUCCAUUAUGUUAACUAGUUUCCGCGUUGUGGUAUAGUUUACUAGCACUUUUAAUUAAUUUUCAACACUUCCAUUUUUCACAAUGUGUUUUGCAUAACAAAAUUUAUGGGUAUCACCUUAUUUAACCAGUAACCAUAAGGUAUACUAUGUUUUCCAUUUUUUCAAAGAACCACUUUGUGUAUGUGUUCUAUCAUCAAUGCAGGUAGACUAAUGAAUUCAAAAUAGCUAAGGCAUUCCAUGACAUACAAGUCAGCUGCUGAAUCAGUGUUUCUUUUUUGUGAUUUAGGCAGAAUCACCUUGUUAACGAAGUCAAAGACCAAUUGAAUUUUUCUCUUGAGUAAUUUUGUAUUCACUGCAGCUACAUAUUGCCCUUUGACCUUUAAUGUAUAUACUAAAAACUCUAUUGAGGGUUGCUUCUUUGAGACAGUCCUCACACCAUAAAUAGUAACUUCUAGAAUUCUUUCCAAUGUUUCUUCAUUCAACUUUAUUUUCUUUCCUUAGACCUGUGUAAUCAGAAUCA
RNAcentral lists this long non-coding RNA (3052 nucleotides) under Capsicum annuum. Its description in RNAcentral is "long non-coding RNA (CANN_LNC009989)". The record is from RNAcentral. Lineage: Eukaryota; Viridiplantae; Streptophyta; Magnoliopsida; Solanales; Solanaceae.